AUGCCUUCCACACCUUCCAUGGCACCCGAUCUAGUGAAUGCUUCAAAUUCUUACUAUAUGCUUCUUCGAGAGUUGUUCUUCCGUUUGGUCUUUGGUCUUCAAGUUGAGUCUUCCCUUUCCAUGGAGAUAAUUGCCUUUUGGUUGUGGCUCCAAGGGAAUGGCCAAGUUGAUUUCCUUCGGCGCAUAUACUCUUUUGGUGACAACCAUUUUUGUGCCCUUGUUUCUUCUGCAAAACGUUUUCUGGAACUUCUCCAUUUCGGAUUUGAUGAUUUAGCGAGCAGAUCUAUACCAAGAAGUGACUUUAAGAAGGAAGCUGUUGAAGGAAUUUCUUUCUACCUCAAUGGUAUCUGUUACGAGGCCUUGGAAGAUCUUCGAGAAAGAAUAGAGAUGGAUUUUAUCCAUAAUCAGAGGACAUAUCUGCGCCAU
Molecule: ribosomal RNA, 426 nt
Filed under: Triticum aestivum (bread wheat)
Lineage: Eukaryota; Viridiplantae; Streptophyta; Magnoliopsida; Poales; Poaceae
Description: partial small subunit ribosomal RNA
Source: RNAcentral